AUACGGAGGGUGCAAGCGUUAUCCGGAAUCAUUGGGUUUAAAGGGUCCGCAGGCGGAUUAAUAAGUCAGUGGUGAAAUCCUCUCGCUCAACGAGAGAACUGCCUUUGAAACUGUUAGUCUUGAAUUCGGUCGAAGUAGGCGGAAUGUGUCAUGUAGCGGUGAAAUGCAUAGAUAUGACACAGAACACCGAUAGCGAAGGCAGCUUACUAGACCUGGAUUGACGCUCAUGGACGAAAGCGUGGGGAGCGAACAGGAUUAGAAACCCCAGUAGUCC
RNAcentral lists this ribosomal RNA (274 nucleotides) under uncultured bacterium. RNAcentral's name for it is "partial 16S ribosomal RNA". It matches the Rfam family "Bacterial small subunit ribosomal RNA", at positions 523 to 796 of the family's 1533-position model. The record is from RNAcentral.